This is a non-coding RNA of Python bivittatus (Burmese python), 205 nucleotides long. The record is from RefSeq and is a predicted model, not a curated record. NCBI's taxonomy places the organism in Eukaryota, Metazoa, Chordata, Lepidosauria, Squamata, Pythonidae.
UUCCCGAUUGGGCAAGUUCUCAGGAAACGGAGCUGCAGAGGCAGGGGCUCCACACGAUAGAGGAGGUCUCCAUUCGUUGGGAUUCCACCAAAGGCGGCAGAGACCACACCGGUGACCUCAGCGCCCUGAAGGAGGAGGCCUGGGACCUGAGUCUCAUUUCGGAGAGCAGGUCCAGCGGAAAAGGUUCUGCUAAAACCUGGACCCG